RNAcentral lists this small RNA (482 nucleotides) under Pongo abelii (Sumatran orangutan). Its description in RNAcentral is "processed transcript". The record is from RNAcentral. Lineage: Eukaryota; Metazoa; Chordata; Mammalia; Primates; Hominidae.
AGUUUAUUACAGGCUUACUUUUUUUCCCCUGACUCUUCUCAGUUUGCAGGCCUUUCAGAUAUAUCCAUCUCACAAGACAUCCCCGUAGAAGGAGAAAUCACCAUUCCUAUGAGAUCUCGCAUCCGGGAGUUUGACAGCUCCACAUUAAAUGAAUCUGUUCGCAAUACCAUCAUGCGUGAUCUAAAAGCUGUUGGGAAAAAAUUCAUGCAUGUUUUGUACCCAAGGAAAAGUAAUACUCUUUUGAGAGAUUGUAAGUAUAUGAGGUUUUUAAGGGUUUGCUUAAUCUAUCUCACUGUAUCUUAUCAUAAUACUUUAUAAGGCAAAUCUCUGUGGUAAUAAAACUGACAUCAUUUUGUAGGAUAAAAAAUAUGUAAACGAGUAUGUAAAUCAAACUUCUGGCAGAAAUUAAAAAUUUAUUUUAUUUUAUUUUUAUUUUCAUUUUUUUUGAGACAGAGUCUCACUCUGACUCCCAGGCUGGAGUG